Canis lupus familiaris (dog) is the source of this 105-nucleotide non-coding RNA. NCBI's taxonomy places the organism in Eukaryota, Metazoa, Chordata, Mammalia, Carnivora, Canidae. The record is from Rfam.
AGGAGCAACAGCCCUAGUGGCGGGGCCAACUCUGGAAACCUGGAUUCAGCCCCCGCAGGAACUCCGGAGCUCUCGGUCUGCAGGGCCUGGAGGCUCCGGGCGGGG